AUUGAACGCUGGCGGCAUGCUUUACACAUGCAAGUCGAACGGGGUGAGGGGGCAACUCUUCAUCUAGUGGCGAACGGGUGAGUAAUGCAUCGGAACGUGCCCCGUAGCGGGGGAUAACCCGGCGAAAGCCGGACUAAUACCGCAUAUGCUCUACGGAGGAAAGCAGGGGAUCCGCGAGGACCUUGCACUAUGGGAGCGGCCGAUGUCCGAUUAGCUUGUUGGUGGGGUAAUGGCCUACCAAGGCGACGAUCGGUAGCUGGUCUGAGAGGAUGAUCAG
Molecule: ribosomal RNA, 277 nt
Filed under: uncultured bacterium
Lineage: Bacteria
Description: partial 16S ribosomal RNA
Rfam family: Bacterial small subunit ribosomal RNA
Source: RNAcentral